UUCGGGGUGAGCGGCGGACGGGUGAGUAACGCGUGGGAAUAUGCCCUUCUCUAAGGAAUAGCCUCGGGAAACUGAGAGUAAUACCUUAUACGCCCUACGGGGGAAAGAUUUAUCGGAGAAGGAUUAGCCCGCGUUAGAUUAGGUAGUUGGUGGGGUAAUGGCCUACCAAGCCUACGAUCUAUAGCUGGUUUGAGAGGAUGAUCAGCCACACUGGGACUGAGACACGGCCCAGACUCCUACGGGAGGCAGCAGUAGGGAAUCUUAGACAAUGGGGGAAACCCUGAUCUAGCCAUGCCGCGUGUGUGAUGAAGGCCUUAGGGUCGUAAAGCACUUUCGCCAGAGAUGAUAAUGACAGUAUCUGGUAAAGAAACCCCGGCUAACUCCGUGCCAGCAGCCGCGGUAAUACGGAGGGGGUUAGCGUUGUUCGGAAUUACUGGGCGUAAAGCGCACGUAGGCGGAUUAGUAAGUUA
RNAcentral lists this ribosomal RNA (470 nucleotides) under uncultured Paracoccaceae bacterium. RNAcentral describes it as "bacterial SSU rRNA". It matches the Rfam family "Bacterial small subunit ribosomal RNA", at positions 85 to 590 of the family's 1533-position model. Lineage: Bacteria; Pseudomonadati; Pseudomonadota; Alphaproteobacteria; Rhodobacterales; Paracoccaceae. The record is from RNAcentral.